RNAcentral lists this ribosomal RNA (245 nucleotides) under uncultured bacterium. RNAcentral's name for it is "partial 16S ribosomal RNA". It matches the Rfam family "Bacterial small subunit ribosomal RNA", at positions 524 to 768 of the family's 1533-position model. The record is from RNAcentral.
UACGGAGGGUGCAAGCGUUGUUCGGAAUUACUGGGCGUAAAGCGCGUGUAGGCGGAUUGAGUAGUCGGGUGUGAAAUCCCUCGGCUUAACUGAGGAAGUGCGCCCGAAACCAUCAAUCUGGAGGUCCGGAGGGGACCGGGGAAUUCCCAGUGUAGAGGUGAAAUUCGUAGAUAUUGGGAGGAACACCGGUGACGAAGGUGCCGGUCUGGACGGAUUCUGACGCUGAUACGCGAAAGCGUGGGGAG